RNAcentral lists this long non-coding RNA (3336 nucleotides) under Pongo abelii (Sumatran orangutan). RNAcentral's name for it is "lincRNA". Lineage: Eukaryota; Metazoa; Chordata; Mammalia; Primates; Hominidae. The record is from RNAcentral.
CCGCACCACGUGGGCCCGGCGCCCCACGCCUGGAGCUCCCCUCUCCGGAGCCCCGGGAAGGGAAGCGGGGCAAGGAGGCCGGGUGGGCGCAGGGGGGUCUCCGGCGCUUCCUCUCCUCUGCGGGCGCCGCGCGGCUCCUGGGAGUCCGCCCCCGUUCCUGACGCUCAGCUAGGAAGCGGGUCCUCGGGCCCCUCCCCCGAUACAUACACACACACACACAUACACACACACACACACACACACACACACACACAGAGACAGACUCUCACUCUCUUACACAGCCCCUCUCGCGCCCGAGGUCUCGCCCGCAGGCCGGUGGCGCGGGGUCAGCUGCUGCCUGCGGUCCAGGACAGGGUCGGUUCCGCCGCGCAGCGCCCAGGCCCAGCUCGUCCAGAGUCUGCGGGCAGCGCACGUCCAGGUAACGCGCGCCAAGGGGCCGCGGCUCGGAGCUGGGGGACCCGGGCCGCCCUCCCCAUACGGGUGGGAGCGUGGAGAGCGCGGGCGGGGGCGCGGUCCCGGGGGCCGGGCAGCUGGAGGGGGCGGGAGCGCUGGGUGGGGCCUGCGCUGACCCCGGCGCUGAGUCCCUGGGGCCGCCGGGCGGAUGGCGUGGCCGGACGCGGGGGCCCCGGGCCUUCCGGGCGUGACCCAGGGCUCGGGGGCGGGGAGGCCCCUCCGGCGGGGCGGCCCUGGGUGGUCCGGCAGAGGCGGAGGCCGCUCCGAGCCUGUGAGCCCUGGGCGCCUGCGGAGGCGGGGAGAGGGCGGGGUGUGCUGCCCUGGUGGGGACCGCGGGGUCGGAGAGGGGACAUUACCCCCCGCGCCGCGGCGAACGCCCAACCGCGGGUCCGGGUCCCCGCCCAAGGCCGCCCCCGCGAGGUGGCCUCGGCCCGGCUGUCCCCGAGGGUGGCUCGGAUCCUUUCAACUAGCGCGCUGGAGGCAAAGGGCCGCGCCAUUCCAGGUCAGGCAGCCAACGCGGGACACGCGCGUCUCCGAGCUUGCGGCCCGCGAAACCCGGGUGACCUACCGCGCCAGUGCCUUCAACGUCCCCACGCACGGGCCAGUGGCCGCCGCAGCCCCUGAGUCACGCGGUCUCCCCGGCCGGGCCGGCAGAAGGAGCUGGUCCGUUACCAGAAAAAUCCAGAUGCAAAGUUGGGGGUCGUGCUGCCGCUUCCUGCCAGCGCACCGCACCCACCUGGGGCCGCCGCCGACCGGGCAGGACGCGCCUCCUACCCCCUAUUCUGGCCCGGCGGAGAGCUGGUGCCCCCAGCGGCCGCCCGCCCCCGUCCGCAGACCCCGGGGCCCCUGCUGAUUUGCAUUUGCCCGGAGCUGAGGGGGCCAGGGCCUUUGGAGGAAGCAUUGGUCUCCGGGCUGAAGAGCAAAGGCCGUGCCACCUGCCGGGAGGCGGGUGUCAUCUCUGCAAGGGGGCAGACCCCUCGGCCAGGUCAGAGGAAGCAGCGGUGGGGAGACGGACUGCGCGCUGGGAGGCUCCACGCAUCGUAGGUGGGGAGCUGGCUGCCAACCUGGCCUGCCCUCUCUUCCCCGCUCCACCAUCUCUGCUUGGCUCUAGUACCUGCCUGGGGAAGACCCACACCUCCGUCUGCAGUGUUCCUUCCCCUUGGAGGCCCUGCCCUCUGCUCGAGUGCCCGCAUCUUUCCGUGGCCCUCAGAGCAUCGCCUGGGGCGCCCACGGAACUCAUCUGUUAGGCCUGGGAUGCAGGCAGGCAGAAGUGGAGGUUUCAGUGGAAGCAGUGAGGGUGGGGGCCCGGCCCGAACUGUGCCACCUUCCACCCCCUGCCCCUGGGAGAGCAGACAUCGCCCACUCGGGCUCAUGGUGCCAUCCGGGUGAGGACCUCCAUGGAGAGCUCCUCUUUGCCAAAGAAAAGCAAAGUUGCAUUAGGUCUGCGAGCAGGCAGGGUGGCCUCUUCCUGGCUCCCCCCCCACCAAGGAAGCUUCAAGUCCCUGGGACACAGGUGGGGGACUCCAACACCCCUGGAGGAAGGGAGACUGAGGUUGGGGGUGGCGUCCAGGCCCUGACUCUGAGGCACGGUGGUCUGUGCAACCGAGACCCUGCCUCAGGCUCCACCAGCACCUGCUCCUUUCCCCAGGUUGCAGUGACCACCAGGAGAGGUGCCGGGUGUGUAGGCUGCCACGGAAGGGUGGGGAGGUGGGGAGUCUCUGCGGCGGGGUGGUGGGGGCCUAGGCCAGCCAGCUGAGGACAUGUUGGUGCACUCCUGGGAGGGCGGUAUGUGGGUGAGGAUCCCCAUGCAGGGUGGUGCCCAGAAGCCCACUUCCAGAGUCAUCUCUGGUCCACCUCGAAGUCCCCAGGAAAAUGACCUUGUUCUCCGCGGGUGCGAGCCACUAGGCCUGAGAGGACGCCGGCAUGGGGCUUUCAGAGAGGGAGGUGUCAGGAUGGUUUGAGUGUCACCAGCCCAGACAUCCUCCUGGUCCUCCUGAUGCCCCCGACCUCCACGGAGGAUGAGCAUUUCCAGCCCAGCCCUCCCCAUCUCCACCUCCCACUCCCGACACACAGGGAGCCUCCUGAUCUGUGAACCCGCGCUGGCGGGAGUAGCUACUGACCGCUGGGGACCCCUGCCCAGGCUGCUCCCAUGUGGAAAGGAUUCAGGGAGCAGGCGAUGCUUAGCCGAAAGCGUGGAGACCAGCGCUGCUCUCUCCCCAGCGACAGUAUAGAUGUGCCCUGUACAGGAGGGUGCUGUCUGACGCCAGACACCCGGACUACAAAUCGCAACCCCAUUCCUGGUCCUUGCUCCACUGCACCGCAGACCCCAUCCUCAUUCUGGGCCCUCAUCCCCUAGAUCCAGGGACCCCAGCCCCAUUUCAGCCCUUGGACCCUUGUAGGAUGUCAGGCCCUGGCUCCCCUGGGCCCCAGCCCCCAGCCCAUCCCUGACCCAGGCACUGGGGGGCCGAGCUCUUCUGAGAAGGGACAUAGGGCCUGGGGGGCUCUCUCAGCCCAUCAGCAGGAGAGGAGGAGAGGACAGACUCCAGAAAAAUCAGCCUUUGUACCCACUCAGGCUGCCAAGACCUGUGUCUGUCCUUCCAAGCUCAACCUUCAGAGUUCAUGAGGCCUCUUGCCCAGAAUGUCCACAGAUUUCAUGAGGCCCCUUGCCCAGAAUGUCCACGUUUGAAACCUCCCAACACCAAGCCCCAUUUCAAGUAUAACCAGGAGGGAAAAUGGUGCUUGAAAUAAGCAUGCCGCAAAGGAACACCUGCUUUCUCUAAAUGGGCUCUGGCCGCCCAGGCCCUGACCUCCCUGGCCAGGAUGGAACGUUCCAGAGACCUAUUAGUGCCAAAGGCAAAUUAAAACACACCCUGUGAAAAUGUC